Molecule: ribosomal RNA, 253 nt
Filed under: uncultured bacterium
Lineage: Bacteria
Description: partial 16S ribosomal RNA
Rfam family: Bacterial small subunit ribosomal RNA
Source: RNAcentral
AACGUAGGAGACAACCGUUAUCCGGAGUUACUGGGCGUAAAGGGUGCGUAGGCGGGUCUUUAAGUCAGGGGGGAAAUCCUGGAGCUCAACUCCAGAACUGCCUUUGAUACUGAGGAUCUUGAGUUCGGGAGAGGUGAGUGGAACUGCGAGUGUAGAGGUGAAAUUCGUAGAUAUUCGCAAGAACACCAGUGGCGAAGGCGGCUCACUGGCCCGAUACUGACGCUGAGGCACGAAAGCGUGGGGAGCAAACAGG